RNAcentral lists this transfer RNA (67 nucleotides) under Limnonectes fujianensis (Fujian large-headed frog). RNAcentral's name for it is "tRNA-Tyr". It matches the Rfam family "tRNA". Rfam says of the family: Transfer RNA (tRNA) molecules are approximately 80 nucleotides in length. Their secondary structure includes four short double-helical elements and three loops (D, anti-codon, and T loops). Further hydrogen bonds mediate the characteristic L-shaped molecular structure. tRNAs have two regions of fundamental functional importance: the anti-codon, which is responsible for specific mRNA codon recognition, and the 3' end, to which the tRNAs corresponding amino acid is attached (by aminoacyl-tRNA synthetases). tRNAs cope with the degeneracy of the genetic code in two manners: having more than one tRNA (with a specific anti-codon) for a particular amino acid; and 'wobble' base-pairing, i.e. permitting non-standard base-pairing at the 3rd anti-codon position. Lineage: Eukaryota; Metazoa; Chordata; Amphibia; Anura; Dicroglossidae. The record is from RNAcentral.
GGUAAAGUGGCCGAGUAGGUGGCAGGUUGUAGCCCUGAAUACAGAGGUUAAAGUCCUCUCUUUAUCA